AUUCAAAUUUCAUUUUCUCGGAAGCGUCUAUGAGCAAAUUUGAUCUCCAACACAUCUUCAACUUAUUUUCGUACGUAGUAUAUUCUUAUCGACUAUUCACUUCUGUCCAACCCGGGAUUGGCCAAGUUCAAGUAUACGAGACAAGUUUUUAUGCUCGGUUCUCUCGAAAAUGAAACGUCACAUUUUCUUCUAUAUUUCCAAAUUGAUUUUUUCAUGUAGAAUCGCUUCCUUACCGAUCGUACCGCGAUUACUGGGGUACCAUAUACAUUAUUGCGUUCGAAAUUUCGAAGUGAAUCACACUAAAAGCAAACUAUCGAAGAAUUAACGAUGUAUCUCAAAAACGCGAUAGUUUACUAUCUAGUGAAGUUUAUAUGAGAUAAGGAAAACAAAUAAAAACGGAAUUUACAAAGGAUAUACUUCUCCCUCGAGGGAAACGAUACGUAAAUGUGGAACGAAAAGCUAUUGUUUGUCUAACUGUUUGUUUCUCGAAGAAAUUGGGAAAAAAUGUAUGAGCGAAAAAAUAGAAAUUAAAAAAUUGUUAUUGAUA
Long non-coding RNA from Bombus pyrosoma, 547 nucleotides. RefSeq lists it as uncharacterized. NCBI's taxonomy places the organism in Eukaryota, Metazoa, Arthropoda, Insecta, Hymenoptera, Apidae. The record is from RefSeq and is a predicted model, not a curated record. The transcript has 2 exons.